This 253-nucleotide ribosomal RNA is filed under the name uncultured bacterium. RNAcentral's name for it is "partial 16S ribosomal RNA". It matches the Rfam family "Bacterial small subunit ribosomal RNA", at positions 524 to 776 of the family's 1533-position model. The record is from RNAcentral.
GACGAACCGAGCGAACGUUGUUCGGAAUCACUGGGCUUAAAGGGCGCGUAGGCGGGCACUCAAGUCUGUGGUGAAAUCCGGCAGCUUAACUGUCGAACUGCCGUGGAUACUGGGUGUCUCGAGGGAGGUAGGGGCGUGCGGAACUGAUGGUGGAGCGGUGAAAUGCGUUGAUAUCAUCAGGAACUCCGGUGGCGAAGGCGGCACGCUGGACCUCUUCUGACGCUGAGGCGCGAAAGCCAGGGGAGCAAACGGG